GUGUUCUCUUCGGCAACACAUAUACUAAAAUUGGAACGAUACAGAGAAGAUUAGCAUGGCCCCUGCACAAGGAUGACAUGCAAAUUCAUGAAGCAUUCCAUAUUUUU
Dipodomys ordii (Ord's kangaroo rat) is the source of this 107-nucleotide small nuclear RNA. The record is from Ensembl. Lineage: Eukaryota; Metazoa; Chordata; Mammalia; Rodentia; Heteromyidae.